RNAcentral lists this ribosomal RNA (208 nucleotides) under Clostridioides difficile. RNAcentral's name for it is "partial 16S ribosomal RNA". It matches the Rfam family "Bacterial small subunit ribosomal RNA", at positions 683 to 891 of the family's 1533-position model. The record is from RNAcentral. Lineage: Bacteria; Bacillati; Bacillota; Clostridia; Peptostreptococcales; Peptostreptococcaceae.
GAAAUGCGUAGAUAUUAGGAGGAACACCAGUUGCGAAGGCGGCUCUCUGGACUGUAACUGACGCUGAGGCACGAAAGCGUGGGGAGCAAACAGGAUUAGAUCCCCUGGUAGUCCACGCUGUAAACGAUGAGUACUAGGUGUCGGGGGUUACCCCCUUCGGUGCCGCAGCUAACGCAUUAAGUACUCCGCCUGGGAAGUACGCUCGCAA